Gallus gallus (chicken) is the source of this 492-nucleotide long non-coding RNA. RefSeq lists it as uncharacterized. The record is from RefSeq and is a predicted model, not a curated record. NCBI's taxonomy places the organism in Eukaryota, Metazoa, Chordata, Aves, Galliformes, Phasianidae. The transcript is spliced from 2 exons.
GGUGAGCUUCAGUGAGGGAUCUUAGUCUAGAGGUUUAACUGCACGUGCUGGGAGGUUUAAAAGCUACCAUACCUCCAUCAAGUGCCUCUGGAGGAAAUGAUAUAAUAGUAGACAGUAUUAGAUGCAAAUUAGAGUGGGGUUAAAAAGGUGAAGAUCAUCUAUGAGCGACCAUAUCACCACCGCCAUUACGGUAACAGCUGCAGCCAUGUGAUAUUGAAGCGCUUCUCAGGAUUUCACAUCUCAGCCUCUCUCAGUCCAUGCCAAUCUGCACGCAGUCUGGUGCUCCACCUGAUGCUGCCUCAGGGUACAGAGACCCAAAUGCUAAUGAUCCAGCAGAGCCCUACAAGACAAAGAAAGAUCACAGGAGCUCAUAUCAGCACAAUCCACAUGAUUGAAGGAUUCAAGCCCUGGAUUUCAUGUUGUCCUUGGCCAUAAAGCAAACCAUGACACAUACGGUGCACUAGAAAUAAUAAAUACUGCCUAUGAACUAGA